CUUUUUGAUUUUUUUAUUAUUUUUUUAUCUCGAGAUUGGGUUUUUUCACUUGUCUCCUCCCUUUAUUCGAGAUUCCCAACUUUUCUUUUUCUCAUUUUUUUCAAAAUUACAUUUAUUCAUCAAACCGAUGUAAGGGAGACUAUAUAAUCCAACAUUCUUCAAAACUUAUCAACCUUAUUAACGCCUAGACUCGGCCAAGUUACAUGCCACUAAUGUACAC
Molecule: long non-coding RNA, 220 nt
Filed under: Linum usitatissimum (flax)
Lineage: Eukaryota; Viridiplantae; Streptophyta; Magnoliopsida; Malpighiales; Linaceae
Description: long non-coding RNA (LUSI_LNC005966)
Source: RNAcentral